RNAcentral lists this long non-coding RNA (405 nucleotides) under Helianthus annuus (common sunflower). Its description in RNAcentral is "hypothetical non coding rna". Lineage: Eukaryota; Viridiplantae; Streptophyta; Magnoliopsida; Asterales; Asteraceae. The record is from RNAcentral.
CCGAAACGUCAUUAGUAUAUCAAUAUAAAUUGAACUCUCAAGCACUACAAUCGGCACUUUUAACACUUCUCAUCAACAUCCAUUAGUUCGUGUAAUUCAAGUGAUCGCCGGAGAUUCGGAGUACACCGGGAAACCGCCACGAUUGAAGACGAAUUCGUCGCAGGAACCAAAGUCGUCACGUCGGAAUUCGCGGCCUUUGUCAAAUCGGUUAAUCGCUCUUGUUCGUUCUGUUGGAUUUUUUCCCCCAAUCUUACUCGUACGUUGCUUACAAGAAAUCGCAACGCAACCAAUGUUGAUAGACAAGAUGUUGGGAAACAAGAUUAGGGUGGACUAGAAACUCACCUAUAAAAUAAAUUAUGUUUGAACAAUUGUUUCAUGUUCGAUUUAUCUGAACGAUUGUUAUGA